RNAcentral lists this long non-coding RNA (431 nucleotides) under Nicotiana benthamiana. RNAcentral describes it as "long non-coding RNA (NBEN_LNC015027)". Lineage: Eukaryota; Viridiplantae; Streptophyta; Magnoliopsida; Solanales; Solanaceae. The record is from RNAcentral.
CAAGCAGCCCUGGACACAUGGUAGUAAUGCACAAAGAAAAGUAAACAUUUAUUGAGACAUGGAAGGGGUAAGGGGAGCAUGCUAAUCUAAGAUAAAUAGGCUAGUAAGUGUAUACUAGUGACAAUAAGAACAGCAAAACCAUAGGUAAAAGCACAUAAGAAACAAGAAGAAGUGCAAAACUAGUAAAAGCAUGUUGUUUUGCAAACUGUAUAUUAAAUAGGUAACACACCAGUUGCAGACAAAUAGAGCACAAAGAGUAAAGGUGCACAUAGCGAGCAAAGUGAGCAGAGAGUGUGAGCAGCAAUGUGAGAAUGGCAGUGUACAGCAAAGAGAGCAGCAGGCAAACCCAAGUAAGCAAUGUAGUAGAACCUUUGUAGUGUAGAAAUAAACAGCCAAGAUUACUCAAUCUUGGCUUUCAGCCGAUGGAGUAU